Molecule: long non-coding RNA, 1241 nt
Organism: Astatotilapia calliptera (eastern happy)
Lineage: Eukaryota; Metazoa; Chordata; Actinopteri; Cichliformes; Cichlidae
Source: Ensembl
AAGACUUCCCCGAGUGAAAAAAAAGAUGAAGAUACAAGCUGGUGAUGAUCCAGAGCAGCUGGUCUCAGGAAAUGAAGAAAAACCCUGAUCACCUUCUCUACAAACACAAGAAUAAAUUGCGACUAGUCUCAAUGGCUGACACGGAGGAGCAACACAGCGACACGUUAACUCCGACUGCUGCAGUUCCUGUAUGAACUGAGCAACUCUUAAAAUCCAAGGAAAAGCUGAGUGUAUUUUACUUAAAGCUCAGAUGGACCUUGAUGUACUAACAUGCAAGGCUGCAUUCAGGACUUUGUCACAGUGUUAUAUGAAGAGCGGUAACAAGACUUUGUAGUAAUUUGUCUUACUAUUGUCUUAUUUGUUGUGAUUUAGGGUCUGUGCGCACAAGCAGAGGUUUUUGUUUGUAACUGUAACCUCGUUUUCAGAGCCUUGUCUAACAUUUAAUGGUCAUGAAAUAUGUCAGACUUUUUCCUCUACUUAACCAGCUUAGAGAAUUUGAACACCGUGGAGAAAAAGGUGUGCAUUAAGGAUUUUGAACUAUGAUGUUUAAGUGUUGUCACUGCUGAGGAUUCGUGGACACAGAUCCUUAUUCACUAUGCUGCUGUUUACAGUUUAUCUUUUCAUCAGAACAAGCACUUCUAAUUAUACUUUGCUCCUCACUGACAAAACAAGUCCCGUAAAUACACUUUUAUCUUUAAGUUUGGGACAGUAAUCUGUCUUAAUUUAUUAUGUGUUGUAGUUAUCAUAUGGGGAAAAGUCCUGUGGUUAUCCAUCAGUCCUGUUCGAAUAAACCCAAAGUUCAGGAACAUCUUCUUUAGAUCUGUUCAGUUGUAUUCAUGUGGCACCACUUAAACAGUCAACAAAUUUUGACUCAAGUAUGUUAUAUUGUAAGGUAAAGAGCCCAAAGAGUUAAUCUCAGACAAAUGUUCACGCAAAUGUGAAUUACAUUCACUUCAUUAAUGAAGUGAAUGCAAUUCAGUAAUCAAAGGUGUUUGGCUAUAACUGACUACAUGUGUAUACUGUAUCAUAAGUGGACAGAGAUGGAUGUAAACCACACCUUAACCAUUUGGCUGAGGCAAAACUACCACAAGGCAGUGAUUCUAACUAAAAGGUACUCUGGAUAUUAUUAAAUGUGAACAUGUCGUUAAAUAUGACAUUUUUUGUUUGUCAGGUGUCCUGUUUGAAGAAAACACUUGGUAGCCACUUGAAUGAAUGUAAAUAAACACAUUUACAUGAGGGCA